GGUUCAGGAUGAACGCUAGCUACAGGCUUAACACAUGCAAGUCGAGGGGCAUCAGGAAGAAAGCUUGCUUUCUUUGCUGGCGACCGGCGCACGGGUGAGUAACACGUAUCCAACCUGCCCUUUACUCGGGGAUAGCCUUUCGAAAGAAAGAUUAAUACCCGAUAGCAUAAUGAUUCCGCAUGGUUUCAUUAUUAAAGGAUUCCGGUAAAGGAUGGGGAUGCGUUCCAUUAGGUUGUUGGUGAGGUAACGGCCCACCAAGCCUUCGAUGGAUAGGGGUUCUGAGAGGAAGGUCCCCCACAUUGGAACUGAGACACGGUCCAAACUCCUACGGGAGGCAGCAGUGAGGAAUAUUGGUCAAUGGGCGCUAGCCUGAACCAGCCAAGUAGCGUGAAGGAUGAAGGCUCUAUGGGUCGUAAACUUCUUUUAUAUAAGAAUAAAGUGCAGUAUGUAUACUGUUUUGUAUGUAUUAUAUGAAUAAGGAUCGGUUAACUCCGUGCCAGCAGCCGCGGUAAUACGGAGGAUCCGAGCGUUAUCCGGAUUUAUUGGGUUUAAAGGGAGCGUAGGUGGACUGGUAAGUCAGUUGUGAAAGUUUGCGGCUCAACCGUAAAAUUGCAGUUGAUACUGUCAGUCUUGAGUACAGUAGAGGUGGGCGGAAUUCGUGGUGUAGCGGUGAAAUGCUUAGAUAUCACGAAGAACUCCGAUUGCGAAGGCAGCUCACUGGACUGCAACUGACACUGAUGCUCGAAAGUGUGGGUAUCAAACAGGAUUAGAUACCCUGGUAGUCCACACAGUAAACGAUGAAUACUCGCUGUUUGCGAUAUACAGUAAGCGGCCAAGCGAAAGCAUUAAGUAUUCCACCUGGGGAGUACGCCGGCAACGGUGAAACUCAAAGGAAUUGACGGGGGCCCGCACAAGCGGAGGAACAUGUGGUUUAAUUCGAUGAUACGCGAGGAACCUUACCCGGGCUUAAAUUGCAGUGGAAUGAUGUGGAAACAUGUCAGUGAGCAAUCACCGCUGUGAAGGUGCUGCAUGGUUGUCGUCAGCUCGUGCCGUGAGGUGUCGGCUUAAGUGCCAUAACGAGCGCAACCCUUAUCUUUAGUUACUAACAGGUUAUGCUGAGGACUCUAGAGAGACUGCCGUCGUAAGAUGUGAGGAAGGUGGGGAUGACGUCAAAUCGGCACGGCCCUUACGUCCGGGGCUACACACGUGUUACAAUGGGGGGUACAGAAGGCAGCUAGCGGGUGACCGUAUGCUAAUCCCAAAAUCCUCUCUCAGUUCGGAUCGAAGUCUGCAACCCGACUUCGUGAAGCUGGAUUCGCUAGUAAUCGCGCAUCAGCCACGGCGCGGUGAAUACGUUCCCGGGCCUUGUACACACCGCCCGUCAAGCCAUGGGAGCCGGGGGUACCUGAAGUACGUAACCGCAAGGAUCGUCCUAGGGUAAAACU
RNAcentral lists this ribosomal RNA (1445 nucleotides) under uncultured organism. RNAcentral describes it as "SSU rRNA". It matches the Rfam family "Bacterial small subunit ribosomal RNA". The record is from RNAcentral.